RNAcentral lists this ribosomal RNA (501 nucleotides) under uncultured bacterium. Its description in RNAcentral is "partial 16S ribosomal RNA". It matches the Rfam family "Bacterial small subunit ribosomal RNA", at positions 29 to 523 of the family's 1533-position model. The record is from RNAcentral.
AUUGAACGCUGACGGCAUGCCUUACACAUGCAAGUCGAACGGCAGCACGGGUGCUUGCACCUGGUGGCGAGUGGCGAACGGGUGAGUAAUACAUCGGAACGUACCUUAUCGUGGGGGAUAACGCAGCGAAAGCUGUGCUAAUACCGCAUACGCCCUGAGGGGGAAAGCGGGGGAUCGCAAGACCUCGCGCGAUUAGAGCGGCCGAUGCCUGAUUAGCUUGUUGGUGGGGUAAAAGCCCACCAAGGCGACGAUCAGUAGCUGGUCUGAGAGGACGAUAAGCCACACUGGGACGAAGACUAGGCCCAGGCUCCUAGGGGGGGCAGCAGUGGGGAAUUGUGGACAAUGGGGGCAACCCUGCUCCAGCAAUGCCGCGUGAGUGAAGAAGGCCUUCGGGUUGUAAAGCUCUUUUGUCAGGGAAGAAACACCGGCUCUAACACAGUCCGGGAAUGACGGUACCUGAAGAAUAAGCACCGGCUAACUACGUGCCAGCAGCCGCAGUAA